AGUGAACGCUGGCGGUAGGCCUAACACAUGCAAGUCGAACGGCAGCACAGUAAGAGCUUGCUCUUACGGGUGGCGAGUGGCGGACGGGUGAGGAAUACAUCGGAAUCUACUCUUUCGUGGGGGAUAACGUAGGGAAACUUACGCUAAUACCGCAUACGACCUACGGGUGAAAGCAGGGGAUCUUCGGACCUUGCGCGAUUGAAUGAGCCGAUGUCGGAUUAGCUAGUUGGCGGGGUAAAGGCCCACCAAGGCGACGAUCCGUAGCUGGUCUGAGAGGAUGAUCGGCCACACUGGAACUGAGACACGGUCCAGACUCCUACGGGAGGCCGCAGUGGGGAAUAUUGGACAAUGGGCGCAAGCCUGAUCCAGCCAUAGCGCGUGGGUGAAGAAGGCCUUCGGGUUGUAAAGCCCUUUUGUUGGGAAAGAAAAGCAGCAGGUUAAUACCCCGCUGUUCUGACGGUACCCAAAGAAUAAGCACCGGCUAACUUCGUG
This 492-nucleotide ribosomal RNA is filed under the name uncultured bacterium. RNAcentral's name for it is "partial 16S ribosomal RNA". It matches the Rfam family "Bacterial small subunit ribosomal RNA", at positions 29 to 507 of the family's 1533-position model. The record is from RNAcentral.